AAGCCGAAUGAUGAUUUUUUGGAUAAUAUCUCACGACGGUCGUCUGAGGUACAUUCGUGUGCCAAAUUGAUGUGAAAAUCCAAAAUUUCUGAUGGUU
Small nucleolar RNA from Lycium barbarum (goji berry), 97 nucleotides. RefSeq annotates it as small nucleolar RNA Z161/Z228. The transcript has a single exon. Lineage: Eukaryota; Viridiplantae; Streptophyta; Magnoliopsida; Solanales; Solanaceae. The record is from RefSeq and is a predicted model, not a curated record.